AAGCGCUCAUGACCAGACUUGGGCCCGGUGAAUCAUCCAGCGUUCUCGCUGGUGCACUUUGCCGGGCUCAGGCCAGCAUCAGUUUGCUUCGGGGGAUAAAGGCUUUGGGAAUGUGGCUCCUCCGGGAGUGUUAUAGCCUGUUGCAUAAUACCCUUCGGCGGGCUGAGGUACGCGCUCCGCAAGGAUGCUGGCGUAAUGGUCAUCAGCGA
This 209-nucleotide ribosomal RNA is filed under the name Cordyceps sp. Its description in RNAcentral is "partial large subunit ribosomal RNA". The record is from RNAcentral. Lineage: Eukaryota; Fungi; Ascomycota; Sordariomycetes; Hypocreales; Cordycipitaceae.